RNAcentral lists this unclassified non-coding RNA (603 nucleotides) under Pseudopithomyces karoo. RNAcentral describes it as "sequence contains ITS1, 5.8S rRNA gene and ITS2". The stretch from base 245 to 398 matches the Rfam family "5.8S ribosomal RNA". Lineage: Eukaryota; Fungi; Ascomycota; Dothideomycetes; Pleosporales; Didymosphaeriaceae. The record is from RNAcentral.
UCCGUAGGUGAACCUGCGGAAGGAUCAUUAACCGUUACAAACAGUGUGUGCUGCGGCCCCCGGAGGCGAGGCAACGAGCCUUCCGGGAGGUAUGGGGUCCGCCCCUUCACGCGCACGCGUCUGCCAUCCUUACUUUACGAGCACCUUCUGUUCUCCCUCGGCAAGCGCCGUGCGCUGCCGUUGGAACUACAAAACUCUUUUUUUGCAUCUAGCAUUACCUGUUCCGACAAAAACAAUCGUUUACAACUUUCAACAAUGGAUCUCUUGGCUCUGGCAUCGAUGAAGAACGCAGCGAAAUGCGAUAAGUAGUGUGAAUUGCAGAAUUCAGUGAAUCAUCGAAUCUUUGAACGCACAUUGCGCCCCUCGGUAUUCCGUGGGGCAUGCCUGUUCGAGCGUCAUCUACACCCUCAAGCUCUGCUUGGUGUUGGGCGUCUGUCCCGCCUCCGCGCGUGGACUCGCCCCAAAUACAUUGGCAGCGGUCUUUGCCUCCUCUCGCGCAGCACAUUGCGCUUCUUGAGGUGUCGCGGACACGCGUCCAGUAAGCAACAUUUACCGUCUUUGACCUCGGAUCAGGUAGGGAUACCCGCUGAACUUAAGCAUAUC